AUCUUUCUCAGGAACAAAAUCAUAAAGGUUUCUGAAAUUAGGUUUCAGGAUUUAUAUUAUAAGUCGGCUUUCAUCACUCAGCAAUUCCCUUAUUACUUAUUAAUAACACUUAUAGAUAUUUAACUAUUAAAGUUAUCCAGUUGCAGGGUGGGGGGUAUCAUCAGUGAGCCGUAGCUCACAGUUUCACUUCUUUAUAUUGUCAUAACAAUAUAUACUUUUAGGUCAUUUAUAGUGUUGUAACAAGGUCAUCCCAAUUUUCCUUUUCAAACUCACUUUAUAAAGUCAUUACAAUUGAACUUGAAACUAAAAAUUUAGAUAGGAAAGAAGCUUGAU
RNAcentral lists this long non-coding RNA (333 nucleotides) under Mytilus galloprovincialis (Mediterranean mussel). The record is from RNAcentral. Lineage: Eukaryota; Metazoa; Mollusca; Bivalvia; Mytilida; Mytilidae.